This 504-nucleotide long non-coding RNA is filed under the name Hordeum vulgare. RNAcentral's name for it is "long non-coding RNA (HVUL_LNC016901)". The record is from RNAcentral. Lineage: Eukaryota; Viridiplantae; Streptophyta; Magnoliopsida; Poales; Poaceae.
CGACUAAUGUGAUAGUACUCCUGUUCAAGGGUGAGAGAAUAGUGCGCUCCUAUUUAACGCGAGAAGAAAGAGGCAACAUGGUCAUUAGUCAUUCUUCACUGCCAGCUGGUGUUACUUUUGCAAUCUUGUUCACAUCCUAGGACUUGGACGCAUCAGGAUCUCUUGGCCAAGUAUGCGGAUGUGUGGUAGUGACCAGGCUAGCAUACACUCCGCGUAUUUUUGUGCAAUGUGACACUGUACACAGUAGGUUGGGUCCCUCCUUGAGUAAUGAGGAGAGGUGCCUCCUACUCUCAUGACCCCCUAAUUGUUUUGGCAGACAUCUUCUCCUUGUUGUCGAUGCGGUUGUAGUGACAUUUGAUAGUCAUUUCUUCUCAAGAACGAGAUGAUUUUCAAAGCUCCUAGAUCUAUCCACACGUGGUAAAGCCGACAAGAGAAUGUGAAGUGUUGCUUGCUGACGUAGUGUGAGCGUGGUUAGGUUACGUUCAUGCAUCAAUGAAAUAGCAC